AAGAUUUUAAGUUAAACAAACUAUUUACCUUCAAAGUAAAAAAUAUUUUUUAAUAAAUCUUA
This 62-nucleotide transfer RNA is filed under the name Amblyomma maculatum (Gulf Coast tick). RNAcentral describes it as "tRNA-Trp". The record is from RNAcentral. RNAcentral also lists the same sequence under 1 other name. Lineage: Eukaryota; Metazoa; Arthropoda; Arachnida; Ixodida; Ixodidae.